RNAcentral lists this ribosomal RNA (245 nucleotides) under uncultured bacterium. RNAcentral describes it as "partial 16S ribosomal RNA". It matches the Rfam family "Bacterial small subunit ribosomal RNA", at positions 335 to 597 of the family's 1533-position model. The record is from RNAcentral.
GUCCUACGGGGGGCAGCAGUGGGGGAUAUUGCACAAUGGGGGAAACCCUGAUGCAGCGACGCCGCGUGUGGGAAGACGGUCCUCUGGAUUGUAAACCACUGUCCCCAGGGACGAAAAUGACGGUACCCGGGGAGGAAGCUCCGGCUAACUACGUGCCAGCAGCCGCGGCAAUACGUAGGGAGCGAGCGUUGUCCGGAAUUACUGGUGGUAAAGGAGGCGUAGGCGGGGGUUGAAGUUGGGAGUCA